Long non-coding RNA from Balaenoptera ricei (Rice's whale), 2502 nucleotides. RefSeq lists it as uncharacterized. NCBI's taxonomy places the organism in Eukaryota, Metazoa, Chordata, Mammalia, Artiodactyla, Balaenopteridae. The transcript is spliced from 4 exons. The record is from RefSeq and is a predicted model, not a curated record.
GGUGAGCUUGGCAACCAGGCACUGACGUCCUGUCCAGGGCAGGUACUGAGUCUUAGUAAACAGGCCACUAACGAUGCACCACCAGGGUCAACGGAACCAACCCAGUGGCUAAAAGACUCCAGGAAUCCCAGAAGUCAAACAGGCAGAGAGGAUUCCUCUCCGCCUGGGUCCUGAACUGUGGAUGAUGGAGCUCGAAGGGUCCACAGCCCUCAGCUUCCAGUGUAACCUGUGCUCUGUCCAGAUUGCACACAGUUCCUUCCUCUGGGGGUGGGAGGGGCUGUCGUCAGUCUCUUCGGCUCAGCUCUGCCACCAGCCCAGUCAUGUGUCCUUGGGCAGGUCCCUCCCUUCCCUGGACCUCGGCUGUGGGGGUCCCUUCUCACGACAGCUCAAGCCCGACCUCUCAACCUGGAUUCCAUUCCCAGUGCCCGCGCUGCUGGGCACAGUUCAGAGUAGGGGCUGGAGCAGGACAGGGGCUGCCCUGGUUUCAAUCCAGGUGAGUCACAAAGUGCUUCACAAGCUUUCCCAUUUGGGUCCUGGCCUCAGACACAGAAACCAAUCAGUGUUCACCCCUGCCUCUCUGCUCUUGGGUGAGGACCACCCUGGGCCUGUGACAGUAUUUUUCAGCAAGGGUACGUGGUGGGACAUUGGGUGUUAGCAAAGUUGAGUGAGACGCUCUAGAACCAGCCCCCUGGCCCUUUCCUGACCUGUCUACCAUGUGGGGUGAGAGCCGGGGAGCAGACGCAGGAAAGGACUCUCAGGAAGAAUGCUGACACUUUACUUCCAGGUCAGCCGUGCGGAAUGGCCCCGCCUCAUUCACAGUGCCCAUCCACAACCCCCCUCCCGCCCAGUCCUCUGCCUGACAGGUGUCCAGGGGACAUGGCCAGUCUCACUUGGACCAUUUCCCCCACCCCAGAAAAUUACAGGUUGGGAGAGGCUGAUACUUGGUGGGAGGCUGUGAAUUAGAGGAGUGAAAUUACGACUACAGACUGCUACAAGCAAGCCCGGGCCCCGCCGCUUACCUCUGACCCUGACGAAGAGUCUUAGUCUCUCAACGUUGGUUUCCUGCUUUGUAAAAUGGGCCUUUUUCUAGGCUCUGGUGGCAGUGGGGACAUGGAUUCAUACCUCAGAAUUAUGAGAAUUAGGUGAGUUAGUACAGAGGAAGCAUUUGACACAGUGCACAGGAUGGAUGUCUGAUUUCGCCCCAUUACCCUGCCUCUGUCCUGCACCUUCAGUGCUCUAGGGUGGCCCUCAUUCCCGGUUCCAUCCUCAGGACCCCUGAGAUACCUUCAGACACAGCCUCGAAAUGGUCUUACUGGCUUUGCAUCAGCCUCCGUUCUCCCAGCUACCGACUAUUAUCUUUCACCCUUUCAUACUUCACAGACCAACAUGUGGAAGUGUUUGGGGUUGUGCAGACCCAGUCCUGCUUGCAGUUUGGGAGUUUUCCCCUCCUAAGGUAACAGGGCCUCAGUCCUAGUAACACCCUUUACCCAAUGCCCCCUUCCUCUGCCCAGUGCCCAAGUCCUAUAAACAGGUUACCCAGAGAACCAGGAGCUGAUCCACAAGAAGAACCCAGGGUCCGGUCUCCCAGCCCCCAUAUUCCAAGUCCAUUUAACUCCGCAGACCUGUCCUGCCUCGAUGCCCUGAGUUUUAGGAAUGGGUCAUUCCCACGCUGAGGGAGCAGCAAGGGUCAAGGAUUCCUUCUCCCAGGCCACUGCAGUGGGUCGGGGUAAGAAAAAGUUACCCUUAACCUCUCUCCCUCUUAGACAUCAGUGGGUUCUUCAGACAGGAGAAGCAGGAGCCAGAUGAGACGGCACUAGGAGGGAGAGAUGAAGACGGGACGGUUGGGCACAGGAGGCACCAAGAGGUCACAUCCUCGGAGGAGGCUUUCCUGACCCCAGGCAAGUAGAUCCCCUGAUGGUGACCCAGGGCCUCCUCACCCAUCCUCCAAGGCCCUGCAGUAGAAGCCUUUACAGCUGAUCUAAGGUGGCACUAAUCUGGGCAAGUCUGCUUAUAUAAAUAGGACAUCACAGCUCAGAGCUGAGUCAAUGAGGGUAGUGAAGUCCCAUUUCCAGUCCAAUCCCAGAGAUUCUAAUUCGAUAGGAAACUGGGGUCCAGGAAUAUGCAUUUUCAAAAGCUCCCCUGAUGAUUCUGAUGCCGGUGGACCAAAGAAACACUGCCUGAGGUUACAAAAGACUGGGAUUUCACCUUGCUGAUAUGUUCUCUCUGGCUCUUACUCUGAUGAACGGGGCUGCCUCUGACCUACAAUCAGCCAGUGAAUGAAGUCCUCAGUCUGACCACCUAGAGGUGAUGAAUCCUGUUGACAGUCACUGGGUGUGCCCGGAAGUAAGUCCUUCCUGCUGGAACCUUGAGAUGAGACGCCCUCGCUAACACUGUGCUGUAGCCUUGGGAGGGACCCUGAAAACUCAGCAGACAACUCAACUUAGUUGUGCCGAUUCCUGGACCAUAGAAACUGAGAUAAUAAAUGUGUGUUGUUUUAAGCCA